RNAcentral lists this ribosomal RNA (493 nucleotides) under uncultured bacterium. RNAcentral describes it as "bacterial SSU rRNA". It matches the Rfam family "Bacterial small subunit ribosomal RNA", at positions 28 to 521 of the family's 1533-position model. The record is from RNAcentral.
GAUGAACGCUAGCGGGAGGCUUAACACAUGCAAGUCGAGCGGGAUUCACCUUCGGGUGAUGAGAGCGGCGCACGGGUGCGUAACGCGUAUGCAACCUACCUUAUACAAAGGGAUAGCCCAUGGAAACGUGGAUUAAUAUCUUAUGGGACUAAUUAAUCGCAUGGUUGAUUAGUUAAAAUUUCGGUGGUAUAAGAUGGGCAUGCGUCUGAUUAGCUAGUUGGUGAGGUAACGGCUCACCAAGGCGACGAUCAGUAGGGGUUCUGAGAGGAUUACCCCCCACACUGGUACUGAGACACGGACCAGACUCCUACGGGAGGCAGCAGUGAGGAAUAUUGGUCAAUGGACGAAAGUCUGAACCAGCCAUCCCGCGUGCAGGAUGACGGCCCUAUGGGUUGUAAACUGCCUUUCUACGCCAAGAAACCUACCAACGUGUUGGUAGCUGACGGGUAGCGUAGGAAUAAGCACCGGCUAACUCCGUGCCAGCAGCCGCGGU